ACUGGGCGUAGAGGGUGCGUAGGAGGUUUAGUUAGUCCUGUCUUAAAAAUUUCGGCUUAACCGAAAAGAUGGACAGGAAACGGCUAAACUAGAGAGUGCGAGAGGCAUAUGGAACUCAUGGUGUAGGGGUGAAAUCCGUUGAUAUCAUGGGGAACACCAAAGGCGAAGGCAAUAUGCUGGCGCAUUUCUGACUCUGAGGCACGAAAGCGUGGGGAUAGAAAAGGAUUAGAUACCCUUGUAUUCCACGCCCUAAACGAUGUUCUCUAGCUUUUGAUAGUAUCGACCCUAUCAGAGGCGAAGCUAACGCGUUAAGAGAACCGCCUGGGAAGUACGGCCGCAAGGCUAAAACUCAAAGGAAUAGACGGGGACUUGCACAAGCAGUGGAUCAUGUGGUUUAAUUCGAUGAUAAACGAAGAACCUCACCGGGGUUUGAAACCCAAGCGAAUCUCAGUGGAAACAUUGAGAGUCUCACAAGGACGGUUGGGCAGGUGAUGCAUGGCUGUCGUCAGUUCGUGAUUUGAAUUGUUCCCUUAAGUGGGGCAACGAACGCAACCCUCGUGUUGUGUUACAAGUGUCACAACAGACUGCCAUUUUGGAGGAAGGAGAGGAUGACGCCAAGUCAGCAUGUCCCUCUGAUAUCCCGGGCUACACACAUGAUACAAUGGCCGAUACAAUGGGUCGCAAUGCCGAGAGGCGGAGCCAAUCUCAUCAAAGUCGGUCUAAGUUCGGAUUGAGGUCUGCAACUCGACCUCAUGAAGUUGGAAUUGCUAGUAAUCGCAGGUCAGCUAUACUGCGGUGAAUACGUUCUCAAGUCUUGUACUCACCGCCCGUCAAGCCAAGGGAGCCGAGAAUACCCGAAAGUCCGUUUUGCGGACCUACGGUAAGUUCGGUAACAGGGGCUAAGUCGUAACAAGGCACGGGUAGCGGAAGCUGCUCGUGGAAC
This 943-nucleotide ribosomal RNA is filed under the name Parcubacteria group bacterium GW2011_GWF2_40_10. RNAcentral's name for it is "bacterial SSU rRNA". It matches the Rfam family "Bacterial small subunit ribosomal RNA", at positions 553 to 1524 of the family's 1533-position model. The record is from RNAcentral.